Molecule: ribosomal RNA, 114 nt
Filed under: Danio rerio (zebrafish)
Lineage: Eukaryota; Metazoa; Chordata; Actinopteri; Cypriniformes; Danionidae
Source: RNAcentral
GCCGGCAGCUAGCUCUCUGCAACCUCACAUUUUCGCCCACUGCAGCAAAGCAGUGCUGCGCCCAGUCAGUACCUAGAUGGGAGACAACAAGUGAAAGCUAGGUGGCUGCCGGAA